AUGUUUGCCUUCUACUACCUACGCCAGCAUACGGUGCUGAACGCUGAGCCCAGGCCCCUUUCCUCCCCACUCCCCGACGUCCCUUUGUUCCAAGCAGGGGAAAGUUGCCAGUUUGCACCUCUCUCCCCUCCCCAACCCCCGCUGGAAAACCAACCCCAAACAUUCGGUCUUCUCGGGAGCCAGACUCGAAAGCGAAAGCAAAGGAGGACCAGAGAUGAAACACCCUACAGCGUGCGCGCGCACGCACAACACAUCCACACACUCACAGACCCCAACAGAUCCACACACACACGUCACCCCCUCCGAUGCCCACCAGCCGCCUCGCCCUCCCUUCUCUCCCCGUCCCUGCCCGACACUGGCCACCUCCCAGCUGCGGGAGGCCUCUCCAAAGGCUCCAGACGCACCUACCAGUGCGGGGACCAGAGGCUGAGACCACUAACGCGAGGGUACGGGGCCCGCCGGGCCAGCCGUCCGCUGCAGGGUGUUGAUAAUUUGAAGAUAGGAGUGGCAGUGCUGCCGAGGAGCUCUGUGCUCCUCCCUCUCCCUGGCCUGCAUCCACAGCAGGCUGAUGGCAGAAUGAAACCCAUCGAAUGGAAGAGUGGCAGGAAAUCUCCCUUUCAGUAUUUUCUUGCUUUGGAGAAAGACUUCCUAUCAUCUUUCCAUUCCAUACAGGAAACAGAGGCAUUACAAGGCUUUGACUUUGGGGCCUUCUGUCCUUGAGACAAUAACUUCCAGCGGAUGGCAGCUGCCUGUGGCUAGCUGCUGCAGUUUGUUCCUAGAGUUGCAAUGGAAAAGGUGAGAUCAUACUGAGCUGGAACUGGGACCACUGUGAGGUGCAAUCCAGAAUUGCUAAUCAGGGACCAGUGCGGAGAGGUUAGGGGGCAGGUAGCAGAAAAAGGAGACUUCCAGAAACCUCAGUGCCUGGGGCCAUGAGGCCAAAACACUUGACAUUCCCUCUGGUUCCUUCCUUUCCCUGUUCUAGAUUGCAGACCUAGAGCAGCAGCAGGGUCCUGAAUGACAGCGCUCACUCCCUCAUCCCUUUUUCAUUCCCUGCAGGGAUGGAAGGAAGAUAUGGUUGGGCAGAAAACUUAUGCAGUCAAUAGGAAACUUUCCCCUUUGUCUUUGUGCUAUGCUAAAUAAACUACCUGGCUGCUGAAUAUUUAUUGCUUGU
This 1171-nucleotide long non-coding RNA is filed under the name Monodelphis domestica (gray short-tailed opossum). Its description in RNAcentral is "lncRNA (ENSMODG00000045691.1)". Lineage: Eukaryota; Metazoa; Chordata; Mammalia; Didelphimorphia; Didelphidae. The record is from RNAcentral.